AGAGUUUGAUCAUGGCUCAGAUUGAACGCUGGCGGCAGGCCUAACACAUGCAAGUCGAGCGGUAGCACAGAGAGCUUGCUCUCGGGUGACGAGCGGCGGACGGGUGAGUAAUGUCUGGGAAACUGCCUGAUGGAGGGGGAUAACUACUGGAAACGGUAGCUAAUACCGCAUAACGUCGCAAGACCAAAGUGGGGGACCUUCGGGCCUCAUGCCAUCAGAUGUGCCCAGAUGGGAUUAGCUAGUAGGUGGGGUAACGGCUCACCUAGGCGACGAUCCCUAGCUGGUCUGAGAGGAUGACCAGCCACACUGGAACUGAGACACGGUCCAGACUCCUACGGGAGGCAGCAGUGGGGAAUAUUGCACAAUGGGCGCAAGCCUGAUGCAGCCAUGCCGCGUGUGUGAAGAAGGCCUUCGGGUUGUAAAGCACUUUCAGCGGGGAGGAAGGCGGUGAGGUUAAUAACCUCAUCGAUUGACGUUACCCGCAGAAGAAGCACCGGCUAACUCCGUGCCAGCAGCCGCGGUAAUACGGAGGGUGCAAGCGUUAAUCGGAAUUACUGGGCGUAAAGCGCACGCAGGCGGUCUGUCAAGUCGGAUGUGAAAUCCCCGGGCUCAACCUGGGAACUGCAUUCGAAACUGGCAGGCUAGAGUCUUGUAGAGGGGGGUAGAAUUCCAGGUGUAGCGGUGAAAUGCGUAGAGAUCUGGAGGAAUACCGGUGGCGAAGGCGGCCCCCUGGACAAAGACUGACGCUCAGGUGCGAAAGCGUGGGGAGCAAACAGGAUUAGAUACCCUGGUAGUCCACGCCGUAAACGAUGUCGAUUUGGAGGUUGUGCCCUUGAGGCGUGGCUUCCGGAGCUAACGCGUUAAAUCGACCGCCUGGGGAGUACGGCCGCAAGGUUAAAACUCAAAUGAAUUGACGGGGGCCCGCACAAGCGGUGGAGCAUGUGGUUUAAUUCGAUGCAACGCGAAGAACCUUACCUGGUCUUGACAUCCACAGAACUUUCCAGAGAUGGAUUGGUGCCUUCGGGAACUGUGAGACAGGUGCUGCAUGGCUGUCGUCAGCUCGUGUUGUGAAAUGUUGGGUUAAGUCCCGCAACGAGCGCAACCCUUAUCCUUUGUUGCCAGCGGUCCGGCCGGGAACUCAAAGGAGACUGCCAGUGAUAAACUGGAGGAAGGUGGGGAUGACGUCAAGUCAUCAUGGCCCUUACGACCAGGGCUACACACGUGCUACAAUGGCAUAUACAAAGAGAAGCGACCUCGCGAGAGCAAGCGGACCUCAUAAAGUAUGUCGUAGUCCGGAUUGGAGUCUGCAACUCGACUCCAUGAAGUCGGAAUCGCUAGUAAUCGUAGAUCAGAAUGCUACGGUGAAUACGUUCCCGGGCCUUGUACACACCGCCCGUCACACCAUGGGAGUGGGUUGCAAAAGAAGUAGGUAGCUUAACCUUCGGGAGGGCGCUUACCACUUUGUGAUUCAUGACUGGGGUGAAGUCGUAACAAGGUAACCGUAGGGGAACCUGCGGUUG
RNAcentral lists this ribosomal RNA (1520 nucleotides) under Klebsiella pneumoniae. RNAcentral describes it as "bacterial SSU rRNA". It matches the Rfam family "Bacterial small subunit ribosomal RNA". Lineage: Bacteria; Pseudomonadati; Pseudomonadota; Gammaproteobacteria; Enterobacterales; Enterobacteriaceae. The record is from RNAcentral. RNAcentral also lists the same sequence under 2 other names.